GAUGAACGCUAGCGGCAGGCUUAAUACAUGCAAGUCGAGGGGCAUCAAGGUACACGAAAGUGUAUUGUUGGCGACCGGCGGACGGGUGAGUAAUAGGUAGGUAACCUACCUCAUACUGAGGCAUAGCUGGGAGAAAUUCCAGGUAAUUCCUCAUGAGGUUAUAUGACACAUGUGAUAUAAUCAAAGGUAUCGCAAGGUACUGGUAUGAGAUGGGCUUACUGACCAUUAGCUAGUUGGUGAGAUAAGAGCUCACCAAGGCGAAGAUGGUUAGGGGUUUUGAGAGAGAGAUCCCCCACAUUGGAACUGAGAUACGGUCCAGACUCCUACGGGAGGCAGCAGUAGGGAAUAUUGGGCAAUGGGCGAAGCCUGACCCAGCCAUGCCGCGUGAAGGAAGACGGCCUUAUGGGUUGUAAACUUCUUUACUAUGCGACUAACUAGAUUUACGAGAUAAUUCUAUAGAAUGUAGCAUAGCAAAAAGCACCGGA
Molecule: ribosomal RNA, 485 nt
Filed under: uncultured bacterium
Lineage: Bacteria
Description: bacterial SSU rRNA
Rfam family: Bacterial small subunit ribosomal RNA
Source: RNAcentral